UUUUUGUGUUUGCCCCCCCCCCUCGUAUAGUAAGAGACUAGUGUUAUUCAUCUUAAUUAGGUUUAAAGGGUACCCAGACGGUCAAUAUAGCUUCUAUAAUGUUAGUACUUGACUAGAGUUGUAUAUAAGAGGGCAGUACUUGAGGAGGAGAGAUGAAAUUUCGUGAUACCAAAGGGACUCGGAAAAUGCGAAGGCAGCACUCUAGGUAGAAACUGACGUUGAAGGACGAAGGCACAGAGAACAAACAGGAUUAGAUACCCAAGUAGUCUUUGCAGUAAAUGAUGAAUGCCAUAGGUCGGUGUGCAACUUCGAUAUUUGUAACCAAUAUAAGUAUUGGAAUUUGAUCUAUAAAUGAAAGUGUAAGCAUUUCACCUCAAGAGUAAUGUGGCAACGCAGGAACUGAAAUCACUAGACCGUUUCUGACACCAGUAGUGAAGUAUGUUGUUUAAUUCGAUGAUCCACGAAAAACCUUACCACAAUUUGAAUAAUUAUAUUACAGGAGUUGCACGGCUGUUUCCAGUUAAUGUUGUGAAACUGUGAUUUACAUGAAAUUAACGUAAUCCCUGGCUUUAUUUUUGCAAGCUUAAUAGCUAUUAUGAUAAAGUAUUCGAUCCUAAAAAUUUGGAAAGAGAAAGGGGACAAAGACAAGUCAUCAUGGCCUUGAUAUUGUGGGCUAUAGACGUGCCACAUAUGCCUAAACAAAGAGAUGCAAGAAUGUGAAUUUGAGCUAAUCUCAAAAAAUAGGAUAUAUAUUUUAAGGAUUAUAGUCUGAAAUUCGACUAUGUGAAUAAGUAAUUACUAGUAAUCGUGAAUCACCAUGUCACGGUGAAUAUACCUUGGAUUGGUACUAACCACUCGUCACAUGCUGAAAGGAGCAUGCGCAAUAAGUUUGCUUUCUUAGUAACAAGUAAAAAAAAUAAGUAAGUUUUAUAUAUUCUUUUAUUGGGAAUCUUCGUAUGCGUGGCUCUAAUUAGUGUUAAGUUGAAAUACAGUACGUGGGGGGGAAACUGUGGG
Molecule: ribosomal RNA, 1014 nt
Filed under: Fusarium oxysporum
Lineage: Eukaryota; Fungi; Ascomycota; Sordariomycetes; Hypocreales; Nectriaceae
Description: SSU rRNA
Rfam family: Bacterial small subunit ribosomal RNA
Source: RNAcentral